UGCAAGUCGAGGGGUAUAGAUGGGUUUACUCGUCUAGAGACCGGCGCACGGGUGCGUAACACGUAUGCAACCUACCCUUUACUGGGGCAUAGCUCAGAGAAAUCUGAAUUAAUUCCCCAUAAUACAAUUGAAUGGCAUCAUUUGAUUAUUAAAGCUGAGGCGGUAAAGGAUGGGCAUGCGUUGCAUUAGCUAGUUGGUGAGGUAAUGGCUCACCAAGGCUACGAUGCAUAGGGGUUCUGAGAGGAUGAUCCCCCACACUGGUACUGAGACACGGACCAGACUCCUACGGGAGGCAGCAGUAGGGAAUAUUGGUCAAUGGACGCAAGUCUGAACCAGCCAUGCCGCGUGCAGGAAGACGGCCCUCUGGGUUGUAAACUGCUUUUAUAUGGGAAGAAACCUCAUUAUGCGUAAUGAACUGACGGUACCAUAUGAAUAAGGAUCGGCUAACUUCGUGCCAGCAGCCGCGGUAAGACGAAGGAUCCAAGCGUUGUCCGGAUUUACUGGGUUUAAAGGGUGCGUAGGCGGAAUUUUAAGUCAGUGGUGAAAGCCCUUCGCUCAACGAAGGAACUGCCAUUGAAACUGAAAUUCUUGAAUACGGUUGAGGUAGAUGGAAUAUAACAUGUAGCGGUGAAAUGCUUAGAUAUGUUAUAGAACACCGAUUGCGAGGCAGUCUACUAAAGCCGUGAUUGACGCUGAGGCA
RNAcentral lists this ribosomal RNA (700 nucleotides) under uncultured bacterium. RNAcentral describes it as "bacterial SSU rRNA". It matches the Rfam family "Bacterial small subunit ribosomal RNA", at positions 56 to 753 of the family's 1533-position model. The record is from RNAcentral.